Molecule: unclassified non-coding RNA, 287 nt
Filed under: uncultured fungus
Lineage: Eukaryota; Fungi
Description: partial contains 5.8S ribosomal RNA, internal transcribed spacer 2, and large subunit ribosomal RNA
Source: RNAcentral
AACGCAUAUUGUGCCUCUUGGUAAUUCGAGAGGUAUGCCUGUCUGAGUGUCAUUUCACCUCUCAAACUGAUUUGAAUUGGUUUGGUUUUGGGUGAAGGCCUUGUUGGCCUCUCCUGUAAUAUAUGUACAAGUGAAGUGUUUGAUUUGUUGCUGGUUGAAGUAAACGUUUGUCUAGUGCAACAUUCAGCUAGGUUGCCAACAAAGUUGAAUCCAAAAGCUUUCUUCAAUUUAUAUAUAUAUCUUCUUGGUUUGGCCUCAGAUCAGGUAGGACUACCUGCUGAACUUAA